AGGUAGGCCUCCACUUCCACUAAACGGCCACCUCUGCAAAUUCUCUCUUUCAAGUAACAUAAUCUAUCACCAAGCAAGCCACUUCACCGGGUGAGCCACUUCUCCACUAUUCGCACAUCUCUUGAUCAAAUCAAUAAAAAUGUCAGCGAUACAGAGUGAUAAAGCUUUCUACAAAGAAGAAAGACUUCUUUAGGUACUUGAUAAAAAUCAAAUCUUGUGACGCAUUAGCACCUUUUAGUGGUUAUUUUACAGUACACCACCAACCAACUCACCAGCUCACAUAGCCACGCGCCCUGACAAAAAACUUCUUUCUCGAGAUUCCACCACAAUUGUAAUCCCCAAGGUACUUCCACUCCGCGCUUCAUGAAGUAUGGCGCAACCAUUGAUCUUUUUCCAUUUUGAUCCUUCUAUCUCUUCGUACGACCCCUUCUUUUGAUUCCUUUUCCUUCUUUCCUUUCUCAGUCAAUUCAUAAUCUGUAUAUAGGAUAGGACUAGGGCUGUGAGUCGGUAGUACGCACUUGACAAAUUUCAAGUAUACAACAAGCUGCAGUAAAACCUUUAGUUAUAAUAACUAGCUAUUUCUCAUUUCACACUUCCUUAUCAUAUAUAUAUUAAUAAUUGUAUCUGCUAGCUUCUUAUAAUUGGCUUCAUACCCCUCAUCCCUGCAGCUCUCCUUCAUCAAAUUUAUUAGCUAUAUUCCAUGCAUAAGGAGCAAUCUCUAGCCUUCUACACCCCCUUCUCAAGGCCUUGGAUGAUGUAUCUUAAUUAAUAUAUUAUAUUAUAAUAGGGAGCUGUUAUAUAAGGAUUUUGUGCUAAUGUUAGUGGGAUAUAUAAAUUACUCUCUCCCACUCAUUCACUCAUCUACCUGACUACCUGAUAUCUAUUGACGAUAUGGAG
RNAcentral lists this small RNA (897 nucleotides) under Histoplasma capsulatum. RNAcentral's name for it is "hypothetical RNA". Lineage: Eukaryota; Fungi; Ascomycota; Eurotiomycetes; Onygenales; Ajellomycetaceae. The record is from RNAcentral. RNAcentral also lists the same sequence under 1 other name.